GAUGAACGCUGGCGGCGUGCCUAAUACAUGCAAGUCGAGCGAACAGAUGAGGAGCUUGCUCCUCUGACGUUAGCGGCGGACAGGUGAGUAACACGUGGAUAACCUACCUAUAAGACUGGGAUAACUUCGGGAAACCGGAGCUAAUACCGGAUAAUAUAUUGAACCGCAUGGUUCAAUAGUGAAAGACGGUUUUGCUGUCACUUAUAGAUGGAUCCGCGCCGCAUUAGCUAGUUGGUAAGGUAACGGCUUACCAAGGCAACGAUGCGUAGCCGACCUGAGAGGGUGAUCGGCCACACUGGAACUGAGACACGGUCCAGACUCCUACGGGAGGCAGCAGUAGGGAAUCUUCCGCAAUGGGCGAAAGCUUGACGGAGCAACGCCGCGUGAGUGAUGAAGGUCUUCGGAUCGUAAAACUCUGUUAUUAGGGAAGAACAAAUGUGUAAGUAACUAUGCACGUCUUGACGGUACCUAAUCAGAAAGCCACGGCUAACUACGUG
Molecule: ribosomal RNA, 497 nt
Filed under: uncultured bacterium
Lineage: Bacteria
Description: partial 16S ribosomal RNA
Rfam family: Bacterial small subunit ribosomal RNA
Source: RNAcentral